Molecule: transfer RNA, 74 nt
Filed under: Bifidobacterium amazonense
Lineage: Bacteria; Bacillati; Actinomycetota; Actinomycetes; Bifidobacteriales; Bifidobacteriaceae
Also listed under: 1 other name
Description: tRNA-Leu
Rfam family: tRNA
About the family: Transfer RNA (tRNA) molecules are approximately 80 nucleotides in length. Their secondary structure includes four short double-helical elements and three loops (D, anti-codon, and T loops).
Source: RNAcentral
CCCCCGUUAGCCCAACAGGUAGAGGCGGCCGAUUCAAGCUCGGCGCGGUCCCGGUUCGAAUCCGGGAUGGGGGA